This 253-nucleotide ribosomal RNA is filed under the name uncultured bacterium. Its description in RNAcentral is "partial 16S ribosomal RNA". It matches the Rfam family "Bacterial small subunit ribosomal RNA", at positions 524 to 776 of the family's 1533-position model. The record is from RNAcentral.
UACGUAGGGUGCGAGCGUUGUCCGGAAUUAUUGGGCGUAAAGAGCUCGUAGGCGGUCUGUCGCGUCGAAUGUGAAAACCCGGGGCUCAACUCCGGGCUUGCAUUCGAUACGGGCAGGCUAGAGUUCGGUAGGGGAGUCUGGAAUUCCUGGUGUAGCGGUGAAAUGCGCAGAUAUCAGGAAGAACACCCGUGGCUAAGGCGGUUCUCUAGUACGGUACUGACGCUGAGACGCGAAAGCGUGGGGAGCGAACAGG